AAUAUAUUUGACCGAAGCGUAGCGUAGGUCUACGUUUUGACUCGCGCAAUCUGCUUUCGUAUGUCCGGAUGUUCUCCUCUACAGGUCGCAAUUCUCAACCGAUUCGCGUGAAAUUUUGCGACCAUAUUCUAUGAUCAAAUAGAAUUUUUUUGUCGAUCCAGUUUUUGGAAUUUUUUCAAAAUGGCGGAGUCAUUGUACGUCGCGCCUAAACAAAUAGCCGUAUCGAUAUCAUAAGAGUUUCCUCCUUGUGAGACAUGGUUACAGAGUGAUUUGCGAAAAAUUCAGAUAUUUUAGAACGCUGGUUUAGGGGGUAUUUAGAUAUUUAGAUUAUACUCGAGAAUAAGUAGCCUAAUUUCACUGUGCACCUAUAUCCAUUCGUGGCUCAAUUGGAAUACACUAGCUUUACAAUCAUGAGGUUCCGGGCUCAAAUCCCGAACAAUGAAAUCUUUUUUGUUUUUUUUUAUGCACUUUAAUUUCCUAUUUUUUAUUGACUAAGCUUUGUAACAAGGAGAGAGAAGAGGACCCUGGAUCUAUUCCCUGAAUUGUAACAUGUUGUAUUUUUUUUGUAUUUAAAUUUCGUAUUGUUGAUCAAGCCAGCACGAAGCGCGAGCAAAGCGUAUUCGUUUCAGUUUUAUUGUCUGAACUUUUUUUACAGCCGUUAAAGUUCAAGGAGACGGACAGUUGCGCAGGAGAAAACGGGUUCAUGUUUAAAAAAAAUCUGAGCAGUUUUUGCAUUUGGAUUAAUUUAUCAACUUUGGCUUUGCUAUAGAGACGUAUAGUUGGUCAAGCAAAUCUUGUCAGUAGAAAAACGCGGCAAAUUUGAAAAAUCGCGGGCUAGCAACACUGUGUUCGAAUAAUUCCAAAAUCGCGUGUAAUCUGUGUUUUAUCUGUAGAAUGUGGAUCGUCCAUCUUGUUUGUUUACAUUCCGAAUCGGUGCUAAUUCAAGAGAAAUUUCUGCUCCCAGCAUUAAAAUAAAUAUCAAUAUAUUAAAUAAUAUUGUGCAUGACCAUAAGCAAAGUCAAGAUGCCUACAAUGGUUAAAAGGCUUACAUAAAGAUAAAACGUAUGCCUAAAUAUAUCCAAUAAGACCACGAAUUGUGCCCUCGAAACCGCAACUGAUUCGAUUGUUCCCAAUAUCAACAGACGAAGUCCUCAAAUAUUUUCAAAGGAUUAAAACUCGCCCAAUAUAAGGCGUUCGUAAAAGUUUCUCUUCAUACAAAACUUACCUACGGCGGUUUACGUACAUACGUGUACAACGCAAACAAGACGAAAAAUAAACUUGUUAAUUAAAAAAACUAAAAAAAUUGGGACAAUAGUUUAGAUUAUUAUUGUAAAAGUUGUCCGUUUGUUAAUCAUCACGAAAAUAUAUUAUUUAGGCUGAUUUGUUUCAUGCACUCAGCUAUUGCACAUGUAUACCUAUGGAAAAUCCUAGUUUAUACUUUCUGA
Molecule: long non-coding RNA, 1445 nt
Organism: Cydia pomonella (codling moth)
Lineage: Eukaryota; Metazoa; Arthropoda; Insecta; Lepidoptera; Tortricidae
Exons: 3
Source: RefSeq, a predicted model, not a curated record